GGUGAACGCUGGCGGCGUGCCUAAUACAUGCAAGUCGAGCGAACAGACGAGGAGCUUGCUCCUCUGACGUUAGCGGCGGACGGGUGAGUAACACGUGGAUAACCUACCUAUAAGACUGGGAUAACUUCGGGAAACCGGAGCUAAUACCGGAUAACAUGUUGAACCGCAUGGUUCAACAGUGAAAGACGGUCUUGCUGUCACUUAUAGAUGGAUCCGCGCCGCAUUAGCUAGUUGGUAAGGUAACGGCUUACCAAGGCAACGAUGCGUAGCCGACCUGAGAGGGUGAUCGGCCACACUGGAACUGAGACACGGUCCAGACUCCUACGGGAGGCAGCAGUAGGGAAUCUUCCGCAAUGGGCGAAAGCCUGACGGAGCAACGCCGCGUGAGUGAAGAAGGUCUUCGGAUCGUAAAACUCUGUUAUUAGGGAAGAACAAAUGUGCAAGUAACUAUGCACGUCUUGACGGUACCUAAUCAGAAAGCCACGGCUAACUACGUG
RNAcentral lists this ribosomal RNA (497 nucleotides) under uncultured bacterium. Its description in RNAcentral is "partial 16S ribosomal RNA". It matches the Rfam family "Bacterial small subunit ribosomal RNA", at positions 28 to 507 of the family's 1533-position model. The record is from RNAcentral.